UGGGGAAUAUUGCACAAUGGGCGCAAGCCUGAUGCAGCCAUGCCGCGUGUAUGAAGAAGGCCUUCGGGUUGUAAAGUACUUUCAGCGGGGAGGAAGGCGAUAAGGUUAAUAACCUUGUCGAUUGACGUUACCCGCAGAAGAAGCACCGGCUAACUCCGUGCCAGCAGCCGCGGUAAUACGGAGGGUGCAAGCGUUAAUCGGAAUUACUGGGCGUAAA
This 217-nucleotide ribosomal RNA is filed under the name Enterobacter hormaechei. Its description in RNAcentral is "partial 16S ribosomal RNA". It matches the Rfam family "Bacterial small subunit ribosomal RNA", at positions 355 to 564 of the family's 1533-position model. The record is from RNAcentral. Lineage: Bacteria; Pseudomonadati; Pseudomonadota; Gammaproteobacteria; Enterobacterales; Enterobacteriaceae.